UGUCUCGACUGACCACCUGACAAACUAUUCAAAGUCUAGUUUGCAUUUUCUAUUCAAUAUUUGAAAAAGUAGUCUCCUUAUAUAGAAUUGUUCACUGUAGUUAGCCACGGGAUAUUCCCCCCGAAUAUAAAAAAAUCAUUUACGACUUGUUUUUUCUUAUUUUUGGUAUUUUUUGCAGUAUUUUCUAACAUGGAAUUGGAACAGGCGCUUCACCCCUGUCACGCCCGUUUCGUCCUGUUUUCAGCCCUGGUUCAGAGGUCGCCCGAGCUGAAUUUCCACUAAGCGAAGUGGAUUGUAGCUAUAGCUGAAGGACAUUUCAAAUUAUAUUUUUGGUAUUUCCACCAAUUUUCCACGAAUAAUUACUGCAAACUUAAGCGUGGCGUUAGCCGUUCAUUCAAGUCCGAACGGAACUCUGAAACAAGCAAUCCACCCAGAAAUAAACAAAGAAAUGUUGCCUCGAAUUUCUGUCGGACAAUAAGCAAAAAACAACAACGCAGACUUAAAGACAAAGAAGAAGCAAAACAAACUUUAAGUCAAUACAGUACCUACACAUAAAAAAAAAAAUAAAAAUAACACAAUACGAACAAAGUAGAAGAGGAAGCAGCAUGGGAUGGGCAGCAAACUAAAGCAAACCCCCCGGCCGCCCGCAAGGGAGCGAGCUUGCCAGAAAAGCAAAAGGAAGAAGCAACACAAGUAAAACAAAACGAAAAUAUGUGUAGAUGUGGGCGUGUGUGUGUGUGAGUGGGUGGGUUAACUGGCAACGGUGCGGGCAAACGUAAAUCAAACAAAAAUAAAACAAAGCAAAACAAAUAAAAUAAACAAAACUACGCAGAAGUAGCAGGCAGACGUCAACGAGAACGACAGCGACAGCGACGCCGACGCCGACGACGACGGCAAAAACAACAGCAGAAUGGAAAGGGCAGGGGGUGUCAUGAAAGAAUGAAAGAAGCCAAAGCAAAACAACCAAAUGAAAUUGUACAAAACAUGGCAAUGCAAUGAUAAUUAUGAUGAUACUAAUGUUGUUGUUGAUGAUGAUGAUGAUGAUGAUGAUGAUUAAGCAAACGAAGCAAAUUCCGUUAGCUAAAACAAACA
Molecule: non-coding RNA, 1092 nt
Organism: Drosophila virilis
Lineage: Eukaryota; Metazoa; Arthropoda; Insecta; Diptera; Drosophilidae
Source: RefSeq, a predicted model, not a curated record